UCAACCCUAGGUCAACAGGAUUACUUGCUGAGUUUAAACAUAUCGAUAAGUGGAGGAAAAGAAACUUACUAGGAUUUCGCUAGUAAUAGCGAGAAACCAGGAAGAGCAUAACUUGAGAAUCAAGCACUUUCGGCAUCUGAAUUGUAGUUUAGAAAAGUAUCUUCAAUGGUUGACUAGGCCUAAAUCCUCUAGAAAAGGGCACCGGAGUGGGUGAGAACCCCAUUGUACUUAGACCCUAUACACUAUAAGGCAUUAUCUGUGAGUUGAGUUGUUUAGGAAUGCAACUGCAAUUAGGAGGUAAAUGUCAUCCGGGUUGAAUAUAGGUGAGAGAUUGAUAGCAAACAAAUGCCAUAAGGGAAAAAAGAAAAUGACUUUGAAAAAAGAGUCAAAGAGUGCUUGAAAUUGUCAGGAGAGAAUCAGAUGGGGGCCAAUGAUGCAUCCCAUUUAGAUGUGGAAUGGUGAGAACCGAUCCAUCGAUUGACUCAGGGCAUAGAUUGACAUGGGUCACGAUAAUGGCCCAAGCCUAGACUUUUGAUAUGCCUAUGGAAUGAUGCACAUGCCAUCUUGAUGUGCCUUGGCACCUGUAUUUCUAGGUGUCAGCCUAUAGGCUCCCCAUCUGGCCUAUCCCAAAACAUGGACCAAGGAGUCUGACAUGUGUAUGAAUCAAUGGGCUAGAAAACUCAUAAGGUGUAAAGAAGUUGAUUGGCAGGAUCCCUUGUGGGUGCACCACUAAUUGACCUUGAUCUUCUGAGAAGGAUUCGAGGUGAGCAUGCCUGUUAGGACCUGAAAGAUGGUGAACUAUGCCUAUGUAAGGUGAAGCCAAAAGAAACUCUGGUGGAGGCUCGUAGCGAUUCUGACAUGCAAAUUGUUCGUCUGACUCGGGUAUAGGGGUGAAAGACUAAUCAAAUAAUCUAGUAGUUAAUUCCCUCUGAAGUUUCCUUCAAGAAAGUUGGAGCCUUUAGUGAGUUCUAUCGAGUAAAGCUAGUGAUUAAAAGCAUCAGGGGCAUAAUGUCCUCGACCUAUUCUUAAACUUUAAAUAGGUAGGAUGGCGCAGCUACUUCAUUAAGCUACUCCAUGGAACUGAGAGCUUCAUGUAGGCCAUUUUUGGUAAGUAGAAUUGGUGAUGCAUGAUGAACUAGAAGUUGGGUUAUGGGGCCUAACUGGGGUUAUAGUGCUCAACUGUGCUAACUUGGAACCCACCAAGGGUGUUGGUCAAUUAAGGCAACAAGACGGUAGUCAUGAAAGUUGAAAUCUGCUAAAAAGUGUGUAACAACUCACCUACCAAUUCAACUAGCCUUAAAAAUGGAUGGCAUUUAAGUGCAUGACUUAUGCUUGAUAGUUGGGGUAGGGGCUAGGCCCCGAUGAGUAGGAAGGUAUGAUGGUCACCACAAAACCCGAGGCAUGAGCUUGGGUGAAGCAAUCGUCAGUGCAAAUCUUGGUGGUAGUAGCAAAUAUUUAAAUGAGAACUUUGUAGGCCAAAAAAGGGAAAGGCUCCAUGUGAACGGAACUUGCAUAUGGGUUAGUCGAUCCUAAGAGAUGGGGGAAGCUUGUCUGAUAGUGUGUCUAGUGUGAGCUUCGAAAGGAAAUCGGUUUGAAAUUCUUAAAUUGGGAUGCAGUGGCUGAUGGUAACAUUAACAAGUCCAGAGACAUCAGCAGGAGGCUCGGGAAGAGUUAUCUUUUUAGUUUAAAGGCCUGCCCACUUUAAAAAUGGCUUAGCUAGAGGUAGAGUCUAGUGGCCAGAAGAGCAUCGCACAUUGCAAAGUGUUUGGUAUGCCUUUGAUAGCCCUUGAAAAUCAAGAAGACCAAGUGCCAUCUGUACUCGAUCGUACUCAUAACUGCAUCAAGUCUCCAAGGUGAAUAGCCUCUAGUCGAUGGAACAAUGUAGGCAAAAGAAGUUAGUAAAAUGGAUCAUAACCUUGGGAAAAAGAUUGGCUCUAAGGGUUAGGCAUGGGGUCCUAGUCUUGAACCCAUUGGCUAUUAGUGCACUACUCUAGCUGCUCCCAUAGUGAGAGUGGGUUGCCACAUGCUGACUGGGGGAUGAACUAUAAACGGCUCCCUUAGAGGCCUUCCCUAGAUGACAAACAAUCAACUUAGAAUUGUUAUAGACAAAGGGAAUCUGACUAUUUAAUUAAAUCAAAGCAUUGCAAUGGUCCCUGUAAAUACUCACGCAAUGUGAUUUUUGCCUAAUGCUUUAAACACUAAAGUGAAGAAAUUCAACCAAGUGCAUGUAAAUGAAGAGAGUAACCAUGACUCUUUUAAGGUAGCCAAAUGCCUAGUCAUCUAAUUAGUGACGCACACUAAUGGAUUAAUGAGAUCCCCACUAUCCUUGUCUAAUAUCCAGUGAAACCAUAGCUAAGGGAAUGGGCUUGGUAGAAUCAAUAGGGAAAGAAGACCCUAUUGAGUUUGACUCUAGUCUAACUUUGUGAAAUGACUUGAGAGGUGUAGAUAAGUGGGAGCCCUAGGGUGAAAUUGAAAUAACACUACUUUCAAUGUUAUUUUACUUAUUUCAUUAAUCAAAGGCUGAGAAUGACCUUUUCUUUUAGACCUAAGGUUAACAUCGAUCAGUCAAUCUGAGUAGAAGACAUUGUCAAGAAAGGAGUUUGGCUAGGGCAGCACAUCUAUUAAAAGAUAACAAAAGUGUCAUAAGAUGAGAUUAACGAGAAUAGAAAUCUCAUGUGGAAUAAAGGGUAAAAGCUUCUUUGAUUCUAAUUUCCAGUAUGAAUACAAACCAUGAAAGCAUGGCCUAUUGAUUUUUUAAACCUUUAAACUUUGAAGCUAGAGGUGUCAGAAAAGUUACCACAAGGAUAACUGGAAUGUGGCAGCCAAGCAUUCAUAGCAACGUUGCUUUUUGAUCCUUCAAUGUCACUCUUCCUAUCAUUUUGAAGUAGAAUUCACCAAGUGUUGGAUUGUUCACCCACCAACAGGGAACAUUUGUUAGGUUUAGACUGUUGUGAGAUAGGUUAGUUUUACCCUACUAAUGUCAGAGUUGCAAUAGUAAUUCAACCUAGUACAAAAGGAAUCAUUGAUUUGCAUAAUUGGUCAUCACGCUUGGUUGAAAAGCUAGUGAUGUAAAGCUACCGAGCACUGGAUUAUGACUGAAUUCUUCUAAGUUAGAAUCCAAGCUAGAAGUGACACAUGAGCCCGUCAUUCGAUUGUCAACUCGUAAAAGGGACCCAUGGCCCCCAAAGGCACGUAUUGUAGGUGUAGACCCCAUGGUGGACCAGCCACGCAGUCCUCCUUAAAGCUAAUUCCACUAUAGUAAAGGUU
This 3267-nucleotide ribosomal RNA is filed under the name Durio zibethinus. RNAcentral's name for it is "eukaryotic LSU rRNA". It matches the Rfam family "Eukaryotic large subunit ribosomal RNA". The record is from RNAcentral. Lineage: Eukaryota; Viridiplantae; Streptophyta; Magnoliopsida; Malvales; Malvaceae.